Molecule: long non-coding RNA, 738 nt
Organism: Ruditapes philippinarum (Manila clam)
Lineage: Eukaryota; Metazoa; Mollusca; Bivalvia; Venerida; Veneridae
Exons: 5
Source: RefSeq, a predicted model, not a curated record
UGAUGUUUUUAGGUAAUGUAAUUCUGCUAGGUCACAUUAUGAGAAUGAGUUUUAGAUCUUUUAACAUAUCAACAGUUAUACAGAGCGCACAUCCGAGAUAACAUGUCGUUCAUAACGAAAAUAAAGAAUAAUAUGUGUACAUGUAUAUGCCAUUAUCAGUUAUAUAAUCUAUUUCAGAAACUUUUGCCUAUUCGAUCAAUGACGAGAGUAAAUUACAAACAGAUUUAUUGACUGGUUACAAUAUCAACGUUCGACCGGCUGAUCAAGUUUACGUACAAUGUUCUCUUACAAUAAACAAUCUGUUGUCACUGGAUAUUGUAGAUCAGACCUUAGCAGUUAUAGGAUCUUUGGUAGUCAUGUGGCAUGAUCAUCGCCUUUCUUGGAACAUAUCUCAGAAUGGAAACGUGUCUGACGUAUAUUUCAAAUCAGGUCAAAUAUGGAGACCUACACUUGCAUUGAAAAACUCUGUUACUGGAACAGAAGUAAUAGGUGAUGAUGGGAAUCAGAAAAGUAUCCCAAUGAAUGUAAACCCCAGUGGUUCAGUAUUUUGGCUCGCACCAGCUUACUUUGUGUUAUCCUGCUCAGUGGACAUCUCAAAGUUUCCCUUCGAUACACAGACAUGUGAAAUUGUGAUAUCAACAUGGAUGUUCUCGACUAGUACAAUCAAAUUGAAAAACGUUUAUGACGUAAUUGAUAUUGAACGUUUGGAUCAAAAUGGCGAAUAUGACGUCAUACAAA